RNAcentral lists this ribosomal RNA (231 nucleotides) under uncultured bacterium. RNAcentral's name for it is "partial 16S ribosomal RNA". It matches the Rfam family "Bacterial small subunit ribosomal RNA", at positions 524 to 755 of the family's 1533-position model. The record is from RNAcentral.
UACGUAGGGGGCAAGCGUUGUCCGGAUUUAUUGGGCGUAAAGCGCUCGCAGGCGGCCCGAUGCGUCGUGCGUGAAACACCCCGGCUCAACUGGGGAGGGUCGUGCGAUACGGUCGGCUUGAGGCCAGUAGGGGGAUGCGGAAUUCCGGGUGUAGUGGUGGAAUGCGUAGAGAUCCGGAGGAACACCAGCGGCGAAGGCGGCAUCCUGGACUGGUACUGACGCUCAUGAGCG